AAUUAUCUGAUCAUCUUUCACCUUCACAAAAAUAACCAAAUAAGUAAGAAAAUAUACAUAUAAUUAACGCAUAAUCUUCAUUUUGCAUAGUCAAAUAUCAAGUGGAUAAAAAGAAUUGACUAAAUGCAUAUGCAUGGCUCUAAAUCUACUUUUAGAUGCUUGUAUCACAGAGAUCUCAAAAUUUGACUAAGAAUGCAAAAUCAUUGUUGCUCAGAGUGAUGUGUGACAAUCCUUUAAAAUACCAUCAAAAUAGGUAGGUUUCCGCUUCCUAGGAUAUAACUUCGGAUGAAAUCCUCCAUAUCCUUCAUAAAUGGAUUCAUUUUAACAGAUAAAACCAAUUUGGUGUUGAAGAAGCACCUAAAUGUUAUGUAUCAGACCUGCACUUA
This 386-nucleotide unclassified non-coding RNA is filed under the name Hevea brasiliensis (rubber tree). Lineage: Eukaryota; Viridiplantae; Streptophyta; Magnoliopsida; Malpighiales; Euphorbiaceae. The record is from RNAcentral.